Molecule: long non-coding RNA, 1114 nt
Organism: Solanum dulcamara
Lineage: Eukaryota; Viridiplantae; Streptophyta; Magnoliopsida; Solanales; Solanaceae
Exons: 2
Source: RefSeq, a predicted model, not a curated record
UAUUCGAUUUACAUGUAUAAAUAAGAUUUUUUUGGCAAUAACAAGUAUACAUUUAUUAUCUAAGUUAACAAUUAAAAACUGAAAUACGGACACCUGGAUAGCAUUUCCCCGUGAUUAUUCCCAAGAAACCCCUCAACACCAUGGGCUUUAAAGAGUAAAUAGCUGCCCGACAUAAGGGACAGUAUGGUCAGUCUAGAAUUCAAGACAAAUAGUUGGAUUAUUCUUGUAGUUCCCUCCAUUGAUUUGGGGACAGCAACAAAGGCAUAGGGGUACGUGUCAAUCACAUUUUAAAUCUUACAGACAAAUGGCCCCAGAUUCGGCGCCCAACUUUCUUUUCCAAAAUCCACCUCCAAUUGUUGUAUCGUGCACCACACGAUACACAUUAAACCCCCUAUAUUAAAAUAGCGCGUUAUCAUCACUGCUUUUUUUUUUCUUUUCCACGUGAGCGUUGCCAUCGAAGAAGCCCAUAGCCCAUAGCUUUUUGGGUGAUUUACCGUUUGACCCAUUGGAAAACCCUAGUCCCCACAACUCCCCCCAACAUAUUCACCCUGCGCCGGCUUACCUCACUGUCCCUUGAAUCUCAUCAAAUUACCACCUUGCCAUCGCAUCCGUUUUCCUAUAUAAUCGUCGCCUUUGUUAUUCUUUAGGUUUGCCGAAAUAGAGAGCAAAACGGCACUUCCAAGGUUUGAUUAUUUCUUUUGGAUUCUGUCCUGCGGAUCGUGACAGUGGCCUCUUGGCGAAUUGAUCUAUGACUCGAAGCAAAAAGUACAGAUGGACCAAAAACAAAUUGAAUAACCCUUAAAGAGUAAAUAUUGCAAUUGCAAUUUACUUGUAAAAAGGAUAGGGGUGGCCCCUUACAAAAGUGAUUGAAAAAAUGAAAUUUACCACUGAAGAGUAAAGAGUGAAGAUUCCAAAUGUUUGAUGACUUGCCAGAAUGAAAAAGAGAAAAGAAAUUAAAGGGUUAUUCAUAAUAGUGUUGAGACUUUUUUUUGUGAAAAUGAUGUACAAAAGGAGCAUCGUGGGGUCAGGCAGCGUUGGGCAAGUCUAAAAUUAAAUAGAGACUAAAAAUUGAUUAUUUCAACUGCUAUUCGAAAUGGUAGUUGAUUUUUUGGCA